Small nucleolar RNA from Cricetulus griseus (Chinese hamster), 94 nucleotides. The record is from Ensembl. NCBI's taxonomy places the organism in Eukaryota, Metazoa, Chordata, Mammalia, Rodentia, Cricetidae.
GGACUCCUGUGAUGUCCAGCACUGGGCUCUGACCACCGUGAGGACAUGGUGCCCCCCCCCAGGGACCUUUGACACCCGGGGGUCUGAGGGGUCC